AAAAAUGCGCAGUAAUAAUGGAAUUUGAGCUUUUCAAGUGCAAUAAACUUCGCUUGAUGAGGUAACGUGUGUAAUGAGUACAUCAUGUCCAUGUUUUCAUUCGCUCAGCCUUGCGUUUUGAUCCAUCCACUCAAAACGCGCCGUUUAUGAACUUCCUCAACUUGUCCAAGGUCACUAACUCGCAGACGGGUUGACUGGCGAUGCCCAUUUUUUGAAUACAUACUUUCGUCCAUACUCAGCGCAGCUCCCGAGGCUGCUACGUGAGCCUUCAGUUCUGUAUUACUACUUAGUUUUAGUUUAAAAUUGAGGAAGGAAUGCAGCACUCCUGGUCAUGAUUCUGCUUUUGAAUUUCUUGUCAAAGUAGUGGCUGUUUCAAACCAUCUGAAAGAUAUCUAAAUUUGGAUCGACCACAUCAUGAAGCUGGAGUGCGUGGCGCUGGAGGAGGGCGCGGGGGGUGCGGGGGAGUUGGUCCGCGCGUGCGCCCGCUGCCGCGCCGAGCUCGGGCGCAUCAUCAACCGCGGCGCCCUCUGCAAGAUGUGCAAGCUCCGCGUCUGCAAGUCCUGCCGCGAGUACUUCACCGCUGCCACCACUGCGCCCACCGAGUGGCUCUGCACGGCCUGCUACAAGAACAAUGAAUUUCAAAUUGCUGAUUCUGACUGGAUUUCUGAUUAUGUUCGAUGCUCAGCUCCAAGACUUCUUGCAGGGAGCAGAAUAAGUAACAUUCAUAGUAUAAAAAAUUGUGUGCAGCGAUCCUUCACAUUUUCAGAUACAAAACCAUCUCGAUGGGCAGCCUUACGUGGAUCCCCGAGUUGCGCGCGUACAGCAGCAUGCCUCGCCAUCAGGAUGGUGACUAUGCCCCAUCAGUUUUUAGACGAAGAAACAAUGCAGCGUGAUCAAAGCAGAAAACGAACAAAUCAAACCCGAGCUGACUGUAAAACAAUGUAUGUUAUGUCUGCAGCACAGCAUAACCACUUCUUUUUAUUGUGUUUUAUCCAAAAACCACUGUUUUUAUCCUAAACUCUCUUAGCAUGAUCAAAGAGAGAUUGAAAGGGAAGAGGAGGGGAAGAUUGAAGGGUGUUGUAGGUUAAAAUAGUUCAAAUGAACCUCUAGAUUGCAUCAGAGCUUACGCUUUUUACUCUUUUAUGAUACAAUAUGAUGUUUUGUGUAGUGCCCAAAACUUAUUUUAAUAAACUCAAAGCUUCCUCUCACCCAUAUCAGGGGUGGAGUGUACACUACAUAAGCGAAGGGAAGCUCUGAGUCUAUAAAGAACGAGUUUUUAACGUAAUAUCAUAAACCUCUAUUGUUUCAAAAUUUAAGCCUUUUUUCCUAGUUAUGAUGUUUUGUGCCUAAAAUUGUGUCAUCAUGGUAUUUCAUUAGGCAGAGAAAUAUUUCCAUUACCAGCAGGUUUCUGUUCUGAGCGUGCCAUUUACUUGCAUUUUCCUCAGUGAACCCUGGAAAAGAUUUCUAUUUAGAGCGGUUUUUGUCACAAGAACGACUGGUGAUGACCAGAUUUCACUGUAGCAAAUUAAUCUUACUGGGCUUGAUAGUCAAUCGGUCAUGCAGGAAAAUUUGAGUGAUUGUUCCUAAUGCAAACUAUAAAGGCAAAGAAUACGAGUAUGAGUUGAUUUUGGUUACUUUAUUGUGUCCAUCAUGUUCGGCAUGAAGUUCUGAUGAGAAUUAGAAUGACUGUCUGCCAAAACACCCGAUAGUAAUCCAGUUUUGGCGAUUUAGAGUUGCUAAUGAAGUGACACUGGUGAAGAGCCUCUCUAUAAGUGUACUAAAGGGAAAACAAGCAGUGCUCUAAUACACACAUAUUAGAGCCUACAGCUUGCUCUUUCCUCAGCACAUGUUCAGCAGAAGCAGAAGAAUCAUGACACUAAUAACUCCAUAUCUCCAAAAAUAGAUUAUGGUUGUUUUUACUAACAGCCAGUCGAUUAUAGUACUUGCCACAACAAGUAGCAGCUGAGGAGCGUAGCCAAAGGACCACCUCAGUAUAUUGCCCAGUGAUUGAAACACAGGAAUUGUUUCCUACAAAUAGCCUCAGCUGAAUAGAGCAAAAACCCGUAAUUUACGAGUGAUUCUGACCCUAGGCCAUCAAUUUUUUAUGGCAAGGACUAAAAACUUGGUGGUUCUUUCAUUGUCACUUUGCUCAAUGGUCUGUUUUGCUCUAUUGCCAGGUAGUAAUUAGUCUUCCGCCAAAUUUAUUCGCUACUUGAGCAGGAAUUGUCUUUUGAAGAAAACAGCUCAAACAUUACAAUGAACUCAUUACCAAGAUGAAAGUUGACUCCUAAUCUCACAAUCUGGGCAAGAUACUUGUGCAAGUUUAAGCAGCUUCCCCCUUCAAACAGUAUAUGACUGCAAAGAAAAAAUUGUAUACAAAUGGGUUGACUCAGUUUCACCAUUCUGCUCAAAAUUCAAAAUGACUUAGGACUUUGCGUUUGAUGCAGCUCCUAAAAUUAAAAUAAACAACGAAAUUGCUUCUUUUCAUGAAAUGCCAUCUGAAUAGCAGGAAAAUGAAGGUGGUGAACCAAAGGUAUUUUUUAAUGGAGAAGCUGCAUCACAUAUUAUGUAGUUGCAAUUUUGAGUUUCACGUGGAUUUGUGAGACCAGGUUUACUCAUCUGUAUCAAAUUAUGUCUCUAUUGGAGUAUACUAGUUUAAGGAAGAUACUCAAGUUAGCUAAUUUCUUGCAUAUUGUAAAGUGAGGAUUGCAUUUUAGACUUAGUCUAUGUGUUCAUUGUGAUUUAUUUUAACAAUUUUAUGUAAGCAACUGCUCUUAUAUUUAUUUUAACUGAAGGUUUCAACAGACCUAUUUGUAUCCGUUCCAAGACAGACUUUAAAAGGCAUAUCGGUAUCAUAGACCCUUGUAGACACAUGCAUAAAUGUGCAAGGUGCAAAGAAAUUAAUUUUGCAAAAAGGAACCACGAACUAGUGGAAAAACAAGGCUUCCACAGCUUUGUCUUUGAAAAAAAUCAAUGGAAUUAAAAGUGUCGAUGCCAUUAAAUCAGCUGAAAUUUAAUCCCUCAAAGAAGAAGUAUUACUUCAUGUAUGGAGGAGCGGUAGAUGACCAUUUAUUGGACAGAGUCAUGGUGGCAUUGGUCAUAAAUACCUGUUCGAGUUGGGUGGACGAACUUAAACUUUUAAAUUUAGAGAUUUGUAAGUGAGAGUUAAGUCUGCAAAAGUGACUUCAAUGGACAGUAAUUUCAACAUAAGCAGAUCUAUUGUCUAGAAAAUCAAGGUUCUUUCUGUAUGUUUUUUAUUUGAGGUGUUAGUAUGUCACUUAAUCUUUUUAAAUUGUGCAAGAUUUAAAGUGGUCUUUCUUAAUCAAAGAUGGUUUUAUGACCUAAUGGUAGUAGGUUGAACAGUUGAGUGGAUUUUUAUCAGACCCUGAUUAAUUUUUACUCCUGAUGCAGUCAUAGCUUAGUGUGUUCAACAGGCUGCGUAACAUGAACAUCUUUCCUAGAUAUAUGUUGCUGGAAUAGGGUAAAAAAAAGUUUGGAUAAAACAGUUGCCUUGUUUGUCAGCAUAUGAAAUUCUGUGAAAUGGAGACGUUUUCCAAUGUGACAUUUGUCCAAUCUCUUCUCUCCCUAACCUUUGUGAGAAAAUCUCUGCAAUUCACGGUAUUUUUUCUUUGCAUUGUAUUGUGAUUGUCUGUGAUUAUCAAUCUUUAGUAUAGUCUAUUACCAUCAUUAUUUAUAGCUAUAUCAAGAAAAGAAUAAG
RNAcentral lists this long non-coding RNA (3718 nucleotides) under Bemisia tabaci. Its description in RNAcentral is "lncRNA ENSSSA3NGG003040". The record is from RNAcentral. Lineage: Eukaryota; Metazoa; Arthropoda; Insecta; Hemiptera; Aleyrodidae.